Non-coding RNA from Pelobates cultripes (western spadefoot toad), 224 nucleotides. NCBI's taxonomy places the organism in Eukaryota, Metazoa, Chordata, Amphibia, Anura, Pelobatidae. The record is from the annotation of a GenBank genome assembly.
GUAUGCUUUGCAAAGUAUAGGACAUAGGGAGAGUUCUCACAUUGUGUACCUAGGUAUGGACUGUGAGUGGUUUAGCGGGUCAGUCCCUGUAUGGUCAGCCGAUGCCCUGUCUGGAGGCUGCGGUUACAUGCCUGAAAGUUCCAUUGGUGAGCAUCCCUAGCUGCUUCUCGGUACCCUGUGUGUCCUCAGAAUUAUCCCAGCGUAGUCUGGAUGUGGUGCCCCCC